Molecule: ribosomal RNA, 432 nt
Filed under: uncultured bacterium
Lineage: Bacteria
Description: partial 16S ribosomal RNA
Rfam family: Bacterial small subunit ribosomal RNA
Source: RNAcentral
AACGAACGCUGGCGGCAUGCCUAACACAUGCAAGUCGAACGAGACCUUCGGGUCUAGUGGCGCACGGGUGCGUAACGCGUGGGAACCUGCCCUUAGGUUCGGAAUAACUCCCCGAAAGGGGUGCUAAUACCGGAUAAUGUCUUCGGACCAAAGAUUUAUCGCCUUUGGAUGGGCCCGCGUUGGAUUAGCUAGUUGGUAGGGUAAAAGCCUACCAAGGCGACGAUCCAUAGCUGGUCUGAGAGGAUGAUCAGCCACACUGGGACUGAGACACGGCCCAGACUCCUACGGGAGGCAGCAGUGGGGAAUAUUGGACAAUGGGCGAAAGCCUGAUCCAGCAAUGCCGCGUGAGUGAUGAAGGCCUUAGGGUUGUAAAGCUCUUUUACCCGGGAUGAUAAUGACAGUACCGGGAGAAUAAGCUCCGGCUAACUCGUG